GAGGGGGGCUGUCUAGGAGUGGAGUGGGCAUAGGCCAACUUCAAGGGUCCUGAGAGUAACAAUGACUCAGGAGGGACCUGUAAAAAAGCAUCUCGUCCUGGGGCCCAGGCAGUGACUUUGUGUACCUUGCAGCUUCAGGAGUCAGGGAGUGUGGCUAAUCCCUGCAGGCACUGGCAGGAGCCAGGAAGACUGUUCCCACCCAGUGAGAAGGAGGUGAGUGAGUCACUGAGGUUGAUGACCAACUCCCUUCUGGGGAGCCCUACAGCCUGAUGCAGGGAGCAGGAGUGAGCUGUCUUGCUGGAGCAUUCAGGUCUCAGAAGACUCCUGUUGGAAAAUUUAGUCCUGGGAACUUUCAUCUACAACCUCCUUGGAGAUUGUGGUGAGAAAAAUGCAAUACAUAGGGAUAAGAAGAUUAUUUAUUUGCUUAUUGUUUGGACUGAAAAGGAGCAGAUGAUGGUAGGGUGAUAUCAAGACCAUAUCUCCAGAAGCAAGCUAAGUGAACAUGUCAACGUAUAUUCUCUCUCUCUCUCUUUUUUUUUUUUUACAGAAUUUAACAAAAUAAAAUUAAGAAUGUCAGAAAGUCUAUAAAUAUUAGAAGAAUGUGUACUCUUGGGGUGGGGUAAAGGGAAGACAUUCUAAAAUAAGUCAGGAAACAUAAUUCAAAAAGAAAACUGACAUAAUUGAUCAAAUAAAUAUUUAAAACUUU
Molecule: long non-coding RNA, 706 nt
Filed under: Heterocephalus glaber (naked mole-rat)
Lineage: Eukaryota; Metazoa; Chordata; Mammalia; Rodentia; Bathyergidae
Description: lncRNA (ENSHGLG00100027547.2)
Source: RNAcentral